AUUGAACGCUGGCGGCAGGCCUAACACAUGCAAGUCGAACGAGUGGCGGACGGGUGAGUAAUGUCUGGGAAACUGCCCGAUGGAGGGGGAUAACUACUGGAAACGGUAGCUAAUACCGCAUACCAUCGGAUGUGCCCAGAGGGGAUUAGCUUGUAGGUGGGGUAACGGCUCACCUAGGCGACGAUCCCUAGCUGGUCUGAGAGGAUGACCAGCCACACUGGAUCUGUGACACGGUCCAGACUCCUACGGUAGGCAGCAGUGGGGAAUAUUGCACAUUGGGGGCAAGCCUGAUGCAGCCAUGCCGCGUGUAUGAAGAAGGUCUUCGGAUUGUAAAGCACUUUAAGUUGGGAGGCGUUACCAACAGAAUACGCACCGGCUAACUUCGUGCCAGCCGCCGCGGUAAUAC
This 406-nucleotide ribosomal RNA is filed under the name uncultured bacterium. RNAcentral's name for it is "partial 16S ribosomal RNA". It matches the Rfam family "Bacterial small subunit ribosomal RNA", at positions 30 to 526 of the family's 1533-position model. The record is from RNAcentral.